UCAGAACGAACGCUGGCGGCAGGCUUAACACAUGCAAGUCGAGCGCCCCGCAAGGGGAGCGGCAGACGGGUGAGUAACGCGUGGGAACGUACCCUUUGCUACGGAAUAGCUCCGGGAAACUGGAAUUAAUACCGUAUGUGCCCUUCGGGGGAAAGAUUUAUCGGCAAAGGAUCGGCCCGCGUUGGAUUAGCUAGUUGGUGGGGUAAAGGCCUACCAAGGCGACGAUCCAUAGCUGGUCUGAGAGGAUGAUCAGCCACAUUGGGACUGAGACACGGCCCAAACUCCUACGGGAGGCAGCAGUGGGGAAUAUUGGACNAAUGGGCGCAAGCCUGAUCCAGCCAUGCCGCGUGAGUGAUGAAGGCCCUAGGGUUGUAAAGCUCUUUCACCGGAGAAGAUAAUGACGGUUCCGAGAGA
This 414-nucleotide ribosomal RNA is filed under the name soil bacterium 5V-04. Its description in RNAcentral is "bacterial SSU rRNA". It matches the Rfam family "Bacterial small subunit ribosomal RNA", at positions 24 to 466 of the family's 1533-position model. The record is from RNAcentral.